This 433-nucleotide ribosomal RNA is filed under the name uncultured bacterium. Its description in RNAcentral is "partial 16S ribosomal RNA". It matches the Rfam family "Bacterial small subunit ribosomal RNA", at positions 29 to 507 of the family's 1533-position model. The record is from RNAcentral.
AACGAACGCUGGCGGCAUGCCUAACACAUGCAAGUCGAACGAGACCUUCGGGUCUAGUGGCGCACGGGUGCGUAACGCGUGGGAACCUGCCCUUAGGUUCGGAAUAACUCCCCGAAAGGGGUGCUAAUACCGGAUAAUGUCUUCGGACCAAAGAUUUAUCGCCUUUGGAUGGGCCCGCGUUGGAUUAGCUAGUUGGUAGGGUAAAAGCCUACCAAGGCGACGAUCCAUAGCUGGUCUGAGAGGAUGAUCAGCCACACUGGGACUGAGACACGGCCCAGACUCCUACGGGAGGCAGCAGUGGGGAAUAUUGGACAAUGGGCGAAAGCCUGAUCCAGCAAUGCCGCGUGAGUGGUGAAGGCCUUAGGGUUGUAAAGCUCUUUUACCCGGGAUGAUAAUGACGGUACCGGGAGAAUAAGCUCCGGCUAACUCCGUG